RNAcentral lists this ribosomal RNA (579 nucleotides) under uncultured Bacteroidia bacterium. RNAcentral describes it as "bacterial SSU rRNA". It matches the Rfam family "Bacterial small subunit ribosomal RNA", at positions 224 to 800 of the family's 1533-position model. The record is from RNAcentral. Lineage: Bacteria; Pseudomonadati; Bacteroidota; Bacteroidia.
GAUGGGCUCGCGUCCGAUUAGCCAGUUGGUGAGGUAACGGCCCACCAAAGCAACGAUCGGUAGCCGGACUGAGAGGUUGAACGGCCACAUUGGGACUGAGACACGGUCCAGACUCCUACGGGAGGCAGCAGUGAGGAAUAUUGGUCAAUGGACGCAAGUCUGAACCAGCCAAGUAGCGUGAAGGAUGACUGCCCUAUGGGUUGUAAACUUCUUUUGCCGUAGAACAAAACAUGCCACGUGUGGCAUUUUGCGUGUAUACGUUGAAUAAGCAUCGGCUAACUCCGUGCCAGCAGCCGCGGUAAUACGGAGGAUGCGAGCGUUAUCCGGAUUUAUUGGGUUUAAAGGGAGCGUAGGUGGUUUGAUAAGCCAGCUGUGAAAUACUGCCGCUCAACGGCAGCCGUGCAGUUGGAACUGUCAGACUUGAGUGUACGGGAGGAGAGUGGAAUUCGUGGUGUAGCGGUGAAAUGUUUAGAUAUCACGAAGAACUCCGAUUGCGUAGGCAGCUUUCUACAGUACAACUGACACUGAUGCUCGAAAGUSCGGGUAUCGAACAGGAUUAGAUACCCUGGUAGUCCGCAC